CAAAUUGCCAGCUUUACUGUGACAGUCACUGCAGAAAGAAAUGCUGUUCUGCUUGAGUAACAUCAGAAUGUGAGGACAGAGUACAAUGAUUCCAGUGUCCCACAGGAGCCUUCUGGCUGCUUGGGUGACAGCAAGCCAAAGGCGCUGUGGCAAACCUAAGGACGCGUCAAUCACUGCUCUGCUGAAUCCCGGGUUAUCCCGGCAUUUCAAGUCAAACUUCGGGAGAGAAUUAGGAAUCCCAACCGUGGCGAAAUGGUUGAUGAAACUCUGGGCAGGAGUGUGGCAACCAGGAUGUAGUUGGGAAAGGCACCGGUGGAGGGACGUCAGCACGAGCAGUUCAUUCAGCCUUGAUAUCCGUCCUUGAUAUUCGGCCUUGUCACAACAGGAGUGCUGCCGGAUCUGACUGUGAGAAACAACUGCUCACUUUGAAAAUUUAAAAAAAUUUAUUAAACCUUAACAAAAAUACAGCAAAGGACUACAUAAGGAAAAAGUUGCAGAGCUGGGAAUUGCCCUGUGCAUGCCAUGUGGCUGGUUCAUCUUCAAGAUGGAUGCUCAGUCUUUUAUACCCCUGGGGGUUGCAUCAGCCAGCCCAGCCCUCCCACAGUCUGUCACUCAGCUCUUCUUUGCCAUUUAUCAGUGGAGAUUGCUGUCUUGUGACUCGAUUGGAGGUCAGGUGUUGCCGUGCUGCACCCCCUGAGCAACCCCUGAGCUUUUCCAUUCCCCACUGCCCCAGGUAAGGGGAAUUUGUGCACACCUUCUUUGUACCUGUCCUAGACACCCCAGGCUGUCUGAUGGCAAAAAUACAGGGGGGAAAGGGAACUGUGGGGAGAACAGAGGACAUCUAGGCUACAAUAACAUAACUAUACAUCACUAAAGCUUUUCUUAAUAUUCACACAAUAGUUAUCUUUUAAUUGCAAGAGCAAAUCAUCUCAUCAUCCAUCUAUAACAUCAACAAAACUUUCCAGAGCCUUUGGGAUGGAGUGCAGGUUUCAGGCAGCUCAUGGCUGUUUCAGGUUAACUGUAUGCCUCUCAUCCUGUGGGAAUGCAAUAAAGAUCAGCCCCUUCUCA
Molecule: long non-coding RNA, 1068 nt
Filed under: Junco hyemalis (dark-eyed junco)
Lineage: Eukaryota; Metazoa; Chordata; Aves; Passeriformes; Passerellidae
Description: lncRNA (ENSJHYG00000007125.1)
Source: RNAcentral